AGAAAUCGCUGCUUAAAGAGAGGGGAAGAGACUUUGGAGUGGCUGGAGAGCAAGUAGGAGGCAGGGACUAAGUGGAGAAAUCCUACAAAUCACAAUCCCAUCAAUUCAGCCCCACGUCUAAAGGGGCUGUUUAGGUCCCCCCCUUCCUUGCUCAUUCAUCUGAGCGUGUGUGAGUGAAAAUUGGAGAGGCAACCGUCCUCUGUUGUUUUUCCAAAUGUUAGCGGGUGGUGCUUUUUUUUUUUAAUAUAUAUAUAUAAAUAUAUAUAUAUAAAUGGGGGGGAGGGAGGAAGGAGGGAGCUUAUUGAUAUUAUUUUCCCCUGUCGGGAUUCCUCCUGGUUAAAAAAAGACAAGGGGAAAGAAGGGGAAAGAAGGGGAAAAAAAAAGGUAAAAGCUGAAUGGAUUGGGGGGGGGGAGGGAGUGGGGAGGAUGAGAGGAUUAAAAAGCAAACCGGGAGCAGAGGAGGAGGGAUGACAAGAGCCUGCAGGUGCAGGGAGGCUAAAUUCCCUGCAGGGGUCAUGUGCUGCGGGAGCCGGGGAUCCUGGGCUCCCCGGGGCCGGCGGCGGAGGGCCGGGGCCGGGGGGCGGCGGGGGCGGCUCGGCGGGGGCUGCGGCACCUGCGGGGGGCUCGCCCCCGGCCAGCACCCCCGCAGGAGAUCAACUUUAAGGAGCAGACUGCCGGUCCGGGAGGCAAGGAGGCAGGGGAGGAGAGGGGAAAUGGCUUAGGAACAGCGGCUGCCAAGCGGGUGAAGUUCAGGGCACAAUCCCGGCUCGUCCACGCUCCGGCAGCCCAGCAUCUUCCCGGGGUCUGGAGAACAAGGUGUUCAACAAGUCUUCCUUGUUACCCGAAAUUGAUUGAUGAUGGCUUUCCCGCCCGGCUGUAUUUAACAGAGCGAUGCGGAGAGCUACUCUGACGAGCAGGAUGUUUUAGAGGAGCUCGCUCUACAGCAGCAGCUUUAAUUUCUCUCCCUCUGUCUCUCCGUACACAUACACACAAACACACGUACACACGCACACCUGUGUGCAUGUGUAUGCACAGAUAAAUAAAAAUACGGCACUGUAUCA
Molecule: long non-coding RNA, 1061 nt
Filed under: Anas platyrhynchos platyrhynchos (common mallard)
Lineage: Eukaryota; Metazoa; Chordata; Aves; Anseriformes; Anatidae
Description: lncRNA (ENSAPLG00000017132.1)
Source: RNAcentral